AUAGGAGUCAAAUAUGACUCGAUGUCAUGUGUAUGAGUGAGUAUAACAACUAGAACCGCAACCGGAUCUUAAAAGCCUAAGUAUUGUAUCCUUGUUAGAAGAUAUAAAGACAAAUACUCAUACGGAUUCCGCUACACCAUCAAAGCUUUGAGAACCAAGAAGAAGAUUGGUUAGUGUUUUGGAGUAAAAUAUGACUAGAUGCCAUGUGUAUGAUUGAGUAUAAGAACUUAAACCGCAACCGGAUCUUCAAAGCCUAAAUAGUGUUUCCUUGUUAGAAGAUACAAAGCCAAAGCAUCAUACGGACUUUUGCUACACCAUCAAAGCUUGGAGAAGCAAGAAGAAGAUUGGUUAGUGUUUUGGAGUGAAAGAUGACUAGAUGUCAUGUGUAUUAUUGAGUAUAAGAACUUAAACCGCAACCGGAUCUUCAAAGCCUAAAUUGUGUUUCCUUGUUAGAAGAUACAAAGCCAAAGCCUCAUACGGACUUUUGCUACACCAUCAAAGCUUGGAGAAGCAAGAAUAAGCUUGGUUAGUGUUUUGGAGUCAAAUAUUACUAGAUGUUAUCUGUAUGAGUGAGUAUGACAACUUCAACCACAACCGGAUCUUAAAAGCCUAAGUAUUGAAUAUUUGUUAGAAGAUAGGAAGAAAAAGACUCACAC
Molecule: small RNA, 656 nt
Filed under: Arabidopsis thaliana (thale cress)
Lineage: Eukaryota; Viridiplantae; Streptophyta; Magnoliopsida; Brassicales; Brassicaceae
Description: ATSL270580
Source: RNAcentral